AACUCUGAGCAGUGGAUCACUCGGCUCACGGGUCGAUGAAGAACGCAGCCAGCUGCGAGACUUGGUGUGAAUUGCAGGACACAUUGAGCACUGAUUUUUCGAACGCGCAUUGCGGUCUCGGGUGAUACCCGGGACCUCGCCCUGUCUGAGGGUCG
Molecule: ribosomal RNA, 155 nt
Filed under: Stegodyphus dumicola
Lineage: Eukaryota; Metazoa; Arthropoda; Arachnida; Araneae; Eresidae
Description: 5.8S ribosomal RNA
Rfam family: 5.8S ribosomal RNA
About the family: 5.8S ribosomal RNA (5.8S rRNA) is a component of the large subunit of the eukaryotic ribosome. It is transcribed by RNA polymerase I as part of the 45S precursor that also contains 18S and 28S rRNA. Functionally, it is thought that 5.8S rRNA may be involved in ribosome translocation.
Source: RNAcentral